Molecule: ribosomal RNA, 1372 nt
Filed under: uncultured bacterium
Lineage: Bacteria
Description: bacterial SSU rRNA
Rfam family: Bacterial small subunit ribosomal RNA
Source: RNAcentral
GAUAAACGCUGGCGGCGUGCCUAAUACAUGCAAGUCGAGCGAACGGACGAGAAGCUUGCUUCUCUGAUGUUAGCGGCGGACGGGUGAGUAACACGUGGAUAACCUACCUAUAAGACUGGGAUAACUUCGGGAAACCGGAGCUAAUACCGGAUAAUAUUUUGAACCGCAUGGUUCAAAAGUGAAAGACGGUCUUGCUGUCACUUAUAGAUGGAUCCGCGCUGCAUUAGCUAGUUGGUAAGGUAACGGCUUACCAAGGCAACGAUGCAUAGCCGACCUGAGAGGGUGAUCGGCCACACUGGAACUGAGACACGGUCCAGACUCCUACGGGAGGCAGCAGUAGGGAAUCUUCCGCAAUGGGCGAAAGCCUGACGGAGCAACGCCGCGUGAGUGAUGAAGGUCUUCGGAUCGUAAAACUCUGUUAUUAGGGAAGAACAUAUGUGUAAGUAACUGUGCACAUCUUGACGGUACCUAAUCAGAAAGCCACGGCUAACUACGUGCCAGCAGCCGCGGUAAUACGUAGGUGGCAAGCGUUAUCCGGAAUUAUUGGGCGUAAAGCGCGCGUAGGCGGUUUUUUAAGUCUGAUGUGAAAGCCCACGGCUCAACCGUGGAGGGUCAUUGGAAACUGGAAAACUUGAGUGCAGAAGAGGAAAGUGGAAUUCCAUGUGUAGCGGUGAAAUGCGCAGAGAUAUGGAGGAACACCAGUGGCGAAGGCGACUUUCUGGUCUGUAACUGACGCUGAUGUGCGAAAGCGUGGGGAUCAAACAGGAUUAGAUACCCUGGUAGUCCACGCCGUAAACGAUGAGUGCUAAGUGUUAGGGGGUUUCCGCCCCUUAGUGCUGCAGCUAACGCAUUAAGCACUCCGCCUGGGGAGUACGACCGCAAGGUUGAAACUCAAAGGAAUUGACGGGGACCCGCACAAGCGGUGGAGCAUGUGGUUUAAUUCGAAGCAACGCGAAGAACCUUACCAAAUCUUGACAUCCUUUGACAACUCUAGAGAUAGAGCCUUCCCCUUCGGGGGACAAAGUGACAGGUGGUGCAUGGUUGUCGUCAGCUCGUGUCGUGAGAUGUUGGGUUAAGUCCCGCAACGAGCGCAACCCUUAAGCUUAGUUGCCAUCAUUAAGUUGGGCACUCUAAGUUGACUGCCGGUGACAAACCGGAGGAAGGUGGGGAUGACGUCAAAUCAUCAUGCCCCUUAUGAUUUGGGCUACACACGUGCUACAAUGGACAAUACAAAGGGCAGCGAAACCGCGAGGUCAAGCAAAUCCCAUAAAGCUGUUCUCAGUUCGGAUUGUAGUCUGCAACUCGACUACAUGAAGCUGGAAUCGCUAGUAAUCGUAGAUCAGCAUGCUACGGUGAAUACGUUCCCGGGUCU